CUCUUCGGGGAUGAUUAAACCGGCGCACGGGUGAGUAACACGUGAGUGACCUGCCUUUUAGACUGGAACAACUUACCGAAAGGUGAGCUAAUGCCGGAUGAGUUAUAUAAGUGCAUGUUUAUAUAGGAAAAGUUGGGGAGACCUGACGCUGAAAGAUGGACUCGCGUCCCAUUAGCUAGUUGGUAGGGUAAUGGCCUACCAAGGCGACGAUGGGUAGCCGGCCUGAGAGGGUGGCCGGCCACACUGGGACUGAGACACGGCCCAGACUCCUACGGGAGGCAGCAGUGGGGAAUUUUGCGCAAUGCUCGUAAGAGUGACGCAGCGACGCCGCGUGAAUGACGAAGGCCUUCGGGUCGUAAAGUUCUUUCGACAGGGAAGAAAAUGCCUAUAAGUAACUGUGUAUGUAUUGACGGUACCUGUAUAAGCAGCCCCGGCUAACUCCGUGCCAGCAGCCGCGGUAAUACGGAGGGGGCGAGCGUUGUUCGGAGUGACUGGGCGUAAAGAGCACGUAGGCGGUGUUGUAAGUCAUUAGUCAAAGACUAGAGCUCAACUUUAGUAAGGCUAGUGAUACUAUAAUACUAGAGUAUCAGAGAGGAUUGCAGAAUUCCUGGUGUAGCGGUGAAAUGCGUAGAUAUCAGGAGGAAUACCGUUAGCGAAGGCGGCAAUCUGGCUGGAAACUGACGCUGAGGUGCGAAAGCGUGGGUAGCAAACAGGAUUGGAUACCCUGGUAGUCCACGCUGUANACGAUGGAUGCUAGGUGUUGGGCUUUUAAGUUCANUGCCGCAGCAAACGCGAUAAGCAUCCCGCCUGGGG
Molecule: ribosomal RNA, 813 nt
Filed under: uncultured bacterium
Lineage: Bacteria
Description: bacterial SSU rRNA
Rfam family: Bacterial small subunit ribosomal RNA
Source: RNAcentral